AUUGAACGCUGGCGGCAUGCCUUACACAUGCAAGUCGAACGGCAGCACGGGUGCUUGCUCCUGGUGGCGAGUGGCGAACGGGUGAGUAAUACAUCGGAACAUGUCCUGUAGUGGGGGAUAGCCCGGCGAAAGCCGGAUUAAUACCGCAUACGAUCUACGGAUGACAGCGGGGGACCUUCGGGCCUCGCGCUGUAGGGUUGGCCGAUGGCUGAUUAGCUAGUUGGUGGGGUAUAGGCCUACCAAGGCGACGAUCAGUAGCUGGUCUGAGAGGACGACCAGCCACACUGGGACUGAGACACGGCCCAGACUCCUACGGGAGGCAGCAGUGGGGAAUUUUGGACAAUGGGCGAAAGCCUGAUCCAGCAAUGCCGCGUGUGUGAAGAAGGCCUUCGGGUUGUAAAGCACUUUUGUCCGGAAAGAAAUCCUUGGCCCUAAUACGGUCGGGGGAUGACGGUACCGGAAGAAUAAGCACCGGCUAACUACGUG
Molecule: ribosomal RNA, 486 nt
Filed under: uncultured bacterium
Lineage: Bacteria
Description: partial 16S ribosomal RNA
Rfam family: Bacterial small subunit ribosomal RNA
Source: RNAcentral